UCGCGAGCACGAAAACCACUGCGAGAUAAGUUGUUGGACACACCUUUGCAAAGUGAUCUGUAAUUUCAAACGAUUCGAACUAGUAUUCAGCGAGGGGUAUAGGUAAAGUUUACGUUCAAAACAUAGGAAAAUUAAAGGGCUGAUGUAGAGUGCAGCUUAUCUAUUCCUGGAAACAAUGGUGAUGUGGAAGAGUUUCUUUGAAUGAUAUCUGUUCAUGGUUAAGUAAGUAGCAGUAACAGAUAUAGUGCACAUGAAGGGUGGGUGUGUCCUGUGUUACGGCACAAAGCAAACGUGCACAGCAAGGGUGUCGCUAACUGCACGAGUGACAACCAGGAUCUGGCAACUUUCGGCUGUGCUGUCGACUGAGCUCUUACCUGAAGCUUCUGAGCCCCGGGUGGCUGGUGUUAACAUUCACUGAACAGAAGAGCAAACGAAAGCAGAAAAUGGCGGUCAAUGGCUGGACAAUGAAAGUCAUUCAGUUGCUGCUUGAAGAGUUUGAUGGAAGAGCCAAGUUUGGACAAUUCAAGAGAAGGCUGUAUCAAGAAUACCUCGUGAAGGGUGGAAUCGCUCGUGUUUUAGAUAGGCUCUACGACAGCAACAGGUUCUUGGUCUUUGAAAAGUAUGAGCAGGUGAAAUAUGUUUCAGUCGCCUGGGAGGAUGCUAUUAUCUGCUGUGGAUACCGAAAGCGAGGAUGGGACACGUGCGUUAAAGGACUGUUUCAAAUUCCACAUCUGCAAGUUCUUCAUCACUGGUAACUGCGUAUAUGGUUCCAGAUGUUUGUUUGGGCACGACCUCGAGAACGAGGCCAACUGGAAUGUGUCUGACAACCUGGGUCUGUCAUCGUUUUCAGCCGAACAAAUCCGCACCAUCAUAUUUCGCAGCCAUCCAGUUGUGUGUGUGAACUACAACACGGGAGGCUGUGAUGACGAUGACUGUCCAGACCUUCACGUCUGCUCUCGAUUCAUCCUACAGAAAUGUACAGCAGGAGCCCGUUGUAAUUUUGGACAUUCUUUUCGAACGACUGAACACAAUCAGUGGAUUCUGGAGACAUUUUAUGUGGAAGAUUUGAAUGAUGAAGAAUUGAAAAGGCGCGUCCUAGUAACAAAUAUCUCCAACACUGACAUCAGCCACGAUCCCAAAUGACACCAGCAACAUCUUCGUUAAGUGUCUUUAGUGGUGCUAAAGCAGAAUCAUCAACAUCCUCACUAUCAUCAAUAGACACAGAAGAUUACAUCCUUAGUGUCUUCAUGUUUCUGUUGAAGGAUUUAGGCGGGAGAGCUAAAUUUAACACAUUCUUGACCAAGAGGUGAACUCUGCAGGGACUUAAGAGAGUAGACAUCAUUGAGUGGCUGGAGGACAACAGUGACCGAUUCCUCUUGCAUGAAAGUGAUGGUGAUGUGAAGUUUGUUUCUGUUCACAACAGACGCGCCAGGGUGUGCUUGAGAUACAACAACCCUGGUGGUUCCAUGUGUGACAAUCAGUUUUGCAAGUUCUUUCACAUCUGCAGAGAUCUCCUAACUGACACCUGUAGCAGGACCAGAUGCCAUUUAAAUCAUGAUUUUUCCUCAUGGCCAAAUGCCAAGAUAUGCUCGGAUCUGAACUUUCAGCAGUUUUCAGACAAGGAGAUUUGUAAGAUCAUUCUGUGUAGUCAUCCUGUCGUCUGCGUGAAAUAUAACGAAUCAGGCUGUCAGCUGAAUGAGUGUCCGGACCUCCACGUUUGUUCAAAGAAUAUCUUAAAUCAGUGUGCACGUGGAGACGGCUGUAGGUUUGGCCACACAAUAAAGAAUUCGGGAGAACACAACUCGUAUGUGUUGAAGGCUUUUGGAAUGGACACUUGGCAAGAACAAGUCCUGCGGAAACUUGUCAUUGUCAGCAAAAGAGAACACCCAGAGCAUCUACCAUGUCCCAGCUGUACACCAACAGCUGGACAUUCGUCAGUCAGGAAAAAACGAAUAUACCCGGCACCGCACGAAAUCUAUUGGUGUCAAAGAUACUGAUCCUGGCGAGUAUGAAUACCUGUGUGAAAUAUACACCUGGAGAGGUAUGUGUCCCAAAACUCCGAACUGUCCACACUACCACAGUCCUGAUCGCCUCCCUUACCUGUGGCUGACUAGGAAUCAGGAGGAUGGACAAUGGCGCAGAGUCCAUUCAAGUGUGAACACAGACUUCGAGAAAGUUUCUGUUGCCUUGACGAUGUUAGGUCAUUUCAGGUAAAACAUUUAUAAUGUGGGGAGAAGAUAGACAAAGCUUUGUUUACAGCUGGCAACAUAACUUCUCUACAAAGGCAGACGGACUAACAUACUGUAGGACUUGGGAUAUUGUGUCUUUAAGCAUGUGUUCUUUUAAUAUACCUGGAGUACAGAAUGUGGACUUCCAGUGCCAUGUCAGCCAAAGUCGGAGUACGCCAGUCAGUUAAGCUCAGGCGACUGUCGACGCCAUCAUAUGUGACUGCAACACCAGGAACUCCUCUCAAGCUUCUACACUCAGUGGGUGUGGUAUCGGCAAGAACAUGAAGGCAACUACACCCCCUUCUACCCGGGAACCUUGCAGUACACUCUGGAAGAGAAGUAUUGAAGGGACAGCAGAAGUAUUAUUUUGAGUUUGGAGAUUUACGCCUGAUGGUCAACACUCAAAGCUCCCCGAUAGUUCAAACCAACCUCGACACACAUCGAACAACUUGUGUCAUCCGAAGACCUGUUUUAUGGCGGCUACAUCCAAGACGCCAA
Molecule: long non-coding RNA, 2726 nt
Filed under: Pomacea canaliculata
Lineage: Eukaryota; Metazoa; Mollusca; Gastropoda; Architaenioglossa; Ampullariidae
Description: uncharacterized LOC112556860, transcript variant X2
Source: RNAcentral